CUACGGGAGGCUGCAGUGGGGAAUAUUGCACAAUGGGCGCAAGCCUGAUGCAGCCAUGCCGCGUGUGUGAAGAAGGCCUUCGGGUUGUAAAGCACUUUCAGCGGGGAGGAAGGCGGUGAGGUUAAUAACCUCAUCGAUUGACGUUACCCGCAGAACAAGCACCGGCUAACUCCGUGCCAGCAGCCGCGGUAAUACGGAGGGUGCAAGCGUUAAUCGGAAUUACUGGGCGUAAAGCGCACGCAGGCGGUCUGUCAAGUCGGAUGUGAAAUCCCCGGGCUCAACCUGGGAACUGCAUUCGAAACUGGCAGGCUAGAGUCUUGUAGAGGGGGGUAGAAUUCCAGGUGUAGCGGUGAAAUGCGUAGAGAUCUGGAGGAAUACCGGUGGCGAAGGCGGCCCCCUGGACAAAGACUGACGCUCAGGUGCGAAAGCGUGGGGAGCAAACAGGAUUAGAUACCCGUGUAGUC
RNAcentral lists this ribosomal RNA (464 nucleotides) under uncultured Klebsiella sp. Its description in RNAcentral is "bacterial SSU rRNA". It matches the Rfam family "Bacterial small subunit ribosomal RNA", at positions 339 to 795 of the family's 1533-position model. Lineage: Bacteria; Pseudomonadati; Pseudomonadota; Gammaproteobacteria; Enterobacterales; Enterobacteriaceae. The record is from RNAcentral.